This 549-nucleotide ribosomal RNA is filed under the name uncultured Glomeromycotina. Its description in RNAcentral is "SSU rRNA". It matches the Rfam family "Eukaryotic small subunit ribosomal RNA", at positions 548 to 1098 of the family's 1831-position model. The record is from RNAcentral. Lineage: Eukaryota; Fungi; Glomeromycota.
UUGGAGGGCAAGUCUGGUGCCAGCAGCCGCGGUAAUUCCAGCUCCAAUAGCGUAUAUUAAAGUUGUUGCAGUUAAAAAGCUCGUAGUUGAAUUUCGGGAUCAAUAUGUCGGUCGUGCCUUCGGUACGUACUGGCAUCAUUGGUUUCUCCCUUCUGACAAACCAUGAUGUCAUUAAUUUGGUGUUAUGGGGAGUUAGGACUGUUACUUUGAAAAAAUUAGAGUGUUUAAAGCAGGCAUUAGCUUGAAUACAUUAGCAUGGAAUAAUGAAAUAGGACGUUUGACCCUAUUUUGUUGGUUUCUAGGAUCGACGUAAUGAUUAAUAGGGAUAGUUGGGGGCAUUAGUAUUCAAUUGUCAGAGGUGAAAUUCUUGGAUUUAUUGGAGACUAACUACUGCGAAAGCAUUUGCCAAGGAUGUUUUCAUUAAUCAAGAACGAAAGUUAGGGGAUCGAAGACGAUCAGAUACCGUCGUAGUCUUAACCAUAAACUAUGCCGACUAGGGAUCGGAUGAUGUUAAUUUUUUAAUGACUCAUUCGGCGCCUUACGGGAAAC